This 740-nucleotide ribosomal RNA is filed under the name uncultured Gammaproteobacteria bacterium. Its description in RNAcentral is "bacterial SSU rRNA". It matches the Rfam family "Bacterial small subunit ribosomal RNA", at positions 55 to 784 of the family's 1533-position model. The record is from RNAcentral. Lineage: Bacteria; Pseudomonadati; Pseudomonadota; Gammaproteobacteria.
AUGCAAGUCGAACGGCAGCACAGGAGAGCUUGCUCUCUGGGUGGCGAGUGGCGGACGGGUGAGGAAUAUAUCGGAAUCUACCCUUUCGUGGGGGAUAACGUAGGGAAACUUACGCUAAUACCGCAUACGAACUGAGGUUGAAAGCGGCGGACCGCAAGGCGUCGCGCGGAUGGAUGAGCCGAUAUCCGAUUAGCUAGUUGGCGGGGUAAAAGCCCACCAAGGCGACGAUCGGUAGCUGGUCUGAGAGGAUGAUCAGCCACACUGGAACUGAGACACGGUCCAGACUCCUACGGGAGGCAGCAGUGGGGAAUAUUGGACAAUGGGCGCAAGCCUGAUCCAGCCAUGCCGCGUGUGUGAAGAAGGCCUUCGGGUUGUAAAGCACUUUUGUUGGGAAAGAAAAGCGGUCGGUUAAUACCCGGUCGUUCUGACGGUACCCAAAGAAUAAGCACCGGCUAACUUCGUGCCAGCAGCCGCGGUAAUACGAAGGGUGCAAGCGUUACUCGGAAUUACUGGGCGUAAAGCGUGCGUAGGUGGUUUGUUAAGUCAGAUGUGAAAGCCCCGGGCUCAACCUGGGAAUUGCAUUUGAUACUGGCAGACUAGAGUGCGGUAGAGGAGAGUGGAAUUCCCGGUGUAGCUGUGAAAUGCGUAGAGAUCGGGAGGAACAUCAGUUGCGAAGGCGGCUCUCUGGACCAGCACUGACACUGAGGCACGAAAGCGUGGGGAGCAAACAGGAUUAGAUA